Molecule: long non-coding RNA, 1484 nt
Filed under: Nicotiana tabacum (common tobacco)
Lineage: Eukaryota; Viridiplantae; Streptophyta; Magnoliopsida; Solanales; Solanaceae
Description: long non-coding RNA (NTAB_LNC012727)
Source: RNAcentral
CCUAAUAGGCCAACAUGAUCCUUUGUAAACUCAAAACAUAGGCUGACAAAGCCCUACAAUCUUUCACGUACAGGACAAAUGUCUACAAGCCUCUAAGAGUACAUAAAUGUCAUAAAGGUCGAGACAGAGUCCCGCCAUAUCAAACAAUACACGUCUAAAUCAUACUAACCAAACGAGCAACUCUGAAGCAAAUGGAGUGCACCAACAUCUUCUGCUGAGUUGAUAGCCUACUUGGAGGGCUCUCGGCCUAUCUAUCAGGACCUGCGGGCAUGAAACACAGUGUCCCCAAGCAAAAGGGACGUCAGUACAAGUAAUGUACUGAGUAUGUAAGGCACAUAAAUAAGUACAUAAGAGACAUGAAAGAAAUAUAGAGUACAUAACUCAACCUGUAAGUCUGAAUAACUUUGUAAAUCAUAAAUUACUUUUAGCAUCAUGCAUAUGCGUAUGAAUGUUAUAUCGUGCAUAGGUACAUGUUUCAUAACAUCAUCAACUUCUGAGGGCAUCCCAUCAUAUCAUCUUGGCCACUGUGGGCAAAAUCAUCAACGUAUACUAGCUGAUCAGGUGGUGGUGCGUAUAUAACGCCAUAACCUCUUUCUAUAUCCCAUAUAGAUAUACAUACAUACAUAUAUAUAUACGCGUAUAUAACGCCGUUUGAAUCAUAUUUUAGCCACUGUGGGCAACAUCAUCAUCAUAUACCAGCUGAUCAGGUGGUGGUGCAUAUAUAACGCCAUAACCUUUCCUAUAUCCCAUAUACAUAUAUAUAUACAUACAUAUAUACGCGUAUAUGACUCCAUCUGGUAAUGGGUCAAUGCACAUGAAUGCAAUGCAUGAAAAGUACGUUAAUAAAAUCCUUCGGAGCUUCAUAAGAUCAUUUUACUUUUGAGUAAUAUCAUAAAGUAAACUCUUUUUAACUUUCGUAUUUUUCUGAGACCCAUAAACAUAUGAUAAAAUAUUAUAACACACAGAAAUUCAAGAACAUAGAUAUCUCUAAUAAUUCUAUGAAUAGAGUCAUUCAUGGAAUUUAUGCAUUUGCACGUUUCGUUCGUAUUGUAUGAAUCAUGCCAAAAGAAAAGAAAGAAUAGCCUUAACAUACCUGUACAAAUAAGACAUUAGCUCUCGUCACAAGACUCUAGACAUGAGAACCUCUUAGCUCUUAAUAAUAACACGAGUAACCAAGAAGAGGCAAAGGAGUCAGCUGCAACCAUAUUAUAGUAGCUGUUGUUGUUACGGACAAAGAGGAUGAAACUGUAUAAUCCAUCAACUAUCUCAGACUAAAGAAUCUUCAUAUAUAUUUUAUGGAGAAAACCACAAUCUUGGAGUGCUGAGCUUAUUAACUUUGGACUUCACUGCCAUAUGUGUUGAUCUUAAGUUAUCAACUAGUGACUUGUAGAUUCCAUAGUGAUUUGUGACAAAAUGGUUUAAAGAAGUCUACAUCUAAUGGGAAGGGAAACGGGAAUUGAUUGCAACUAAAGAGGUGGAUUUUG